UGACCAGAAUCGUUGCCGUGUAGA
RNAcentral lists this non-coding RNA (24 nucleotides) under Arabidopsis thaliana (thale cress). Lineage: Eukaryota; Viridiplantae; Streptophyta; Magnoliopsida; Brassicales; Brassicaceae. The record is from RNAcentral.